GUCAGAGGCGAUGAAGGACGUAGUAACUUGCGAUAAGCCCAGAUUAGGUAGUAACAACCAUUUGAGUCUGGGAUUUCCGAAUGGGGAAACCCACUUACAUAAGUAAGUAUCCUUACCUGAAUACAUAGGGUAAGGAGGCGAACCGGGGGAACUGAAACAUCUAAGUACCCCGAGGAAAAGAAAUCAACCGAGAUUCCGAAAGUAGCGGCGAGCGAAA
RNAcentral lists this ribosomal RNA (217 nucleotides) under Vibrio parahaemolyticus. RNAcentral's name for it is "partial 23S ribosomal RNA". It matches the Rfam family "Bacterial large subunit ribosomal RNA", at positions 40 to 258 of the family's 2925-position model. Lineage: Bacteria; Pseudomonadati; Pseudomonadota; Gammaproteobacteria; Vibrionales; Vibrionaceae. The record is from RNAcentral.